This 450-nucleotide ribosomal RNA is filed under the name uncultured bacterium. RNAcentral's name for it is "partial 16S ribosomal RNA". It matches the Rfam family "Bacterial small subunit ribosomal RNA", at positions 29 to 523 of the family's 1533-position model. The record is from RNAcentral.
AACGAACGCUGGCGGCAUGCCUAACACAUGCAAGUCGAACGAUUGCCUUCGGGUGAUAGUGGCGCACGGGUGCGUAACGCGUGGGAAUCUGCCCUUGGGUUCGGAAUAACAGCUGGAAACGGCUGCUAAUACCGGAUGAUAUCGCGAGAUCAAAGAUUUAUCGCCUGAGGAUGAGCCCGCGUUGGAUUAGGUAGUUGGUGGGGUAAAGGCCUACCAAGCCGACGAUCCAUAGCUGGUCUGAGAGGAUGAUCAGCCACACUGGGACUGAGACACGGCCAAGACUCCGAAGGGAGGCAGCAGUGGGGAAUAUUGGACGAUGGGCGCAAGCCUGGUUCAGCAAUGCCGCGUGAGUGAUGAAGGCCCUAGGGUUGUAAAGCUCUUUUACCCGGGAAGAUAAUGACUGUACCGGGAGAAUAAGCCCCGGCUAACUCCGUGCAGCCGCCGCGGUAA